RNAcentral lists this ribosomal RNA (408 nucleotides) under uncultured bacterium. RNAcentral describes it as "partial 16S ribosomal RNA". It matches the Rfam family "Bacterial small subunit ribosomal RNA", at positions 28 to 526 of the family's 1533-position model. The record is from RNAcentral.
GACGAACGCUGGCGGCGUGCUUAACACAUGCAAGUCGAACGAAGUGGCGAACGGGUGAGUAAUACGUGAGUAACCUGCCCUCCUUUUUGGGAUAAGCCUUGGAAACGGGGUCUAAUACCGAAUAAAGGGGGAUGGGCUCGCGGUCUAUCAGCUUGUUGGAGGGGUUAUGGCCUACCAGGGCGGUGACGGGUAGCCGGCCUUAGAGGGUGACACGGGAACUUGGGACCGGGCUACGCCCCAGAGGGAUGCAGGAGGGAGGAGUAGUGGAUAUUGGACAAUGGGCGAAAGCCGCCUGCAGGCGUGGUGGGAGGGGGAUGAAGGAUUUCGGGUUGCUAACAUCUUUCGCUAUGGAAAGGGUAGGUGGAGAAGAAGCGCCGGCUAACUACGUGCCAGCAGCCGCGGUAAUUC